UACGGAGGAUGCAAGCGUUAUCCGGAUUUAUUGGGUUUAAAGGGUGCGCAGGUUGUUUGAUAAGUCAGUGGUGAAAGUCUGUCGCUUAACGGUAGGAUUGCCAUUGAUACUGUUGGACUUGAAUAUGGAUGAGGUAGGCGGAAUGUGUAGUGUAGCGGUGAAAUGCAUAGAUAUUACACAGAACACCGAUUGCGAAGGCAGCUCACAGAGCCAAGAUUGACGCUGAGGCACGAAAGUGUGGGGAUCAAACA
This 251-nucleotide ribosomal RNA is filed under the name uncultured prokaryote. RNAcentral describes it as "partial 16S ribosomal RNA". It matches the Rfam family "Bacterial small subunit ribosomal RNA", at positions 524 to 774 of the family's 1533-position model. The record is from RNAcentral.